GCAGGACGCAAUCGGUGGUCCGAUCAGUUUCAGCUGGGUUGGGAUUUUGGCCAAUCAUUGUGGGAGGAGACUGCUUAAAAGCGGGUAGAGAGCACCUGUCUUCCUCUUUUGGCUUGUCAGAGGCUGGGUCGUAGUACUUCCUGGCAUUCCCCCAGUUCCGUCCUGGCGUGGUGGUAGAGGCCAUUGGGGGUGCGCUAUGCUCCACUGAUUGCUCGCUGCGGGUUGUUUCUGUGCGGCGUUUAUUCCUCUCCUCCACGCUGUGUCGUCCAGGACGCCUGAUUGGUGCUGAACCUACGGUGGUGGAUGGUCCUGGUGGCGGUGUCCCUUUUGUGUUUUGC
Scatophagus argus is the source of this 338-nucleotide long non-coding RNA. RefSeq lists it as uncharacterized. The record is from RefSeq and is a predicted model, not a curated record. Lineage: Eukaryota; Metazoa; Chordata; Actinopteri; Scatophagidae. The transcript is spliced from 3 exons.